This 704-nucleotide ribosomal RNA is filed under the name Paenibacillus sp. wine58. RNAcentral describes it as "bacterial SSU rRNA". It matches the Rfam family "Bacterial small subunit ribosomal RNA", at positions 765 to 1468 of the family's 1533-position model. The record is from RNAcentral. Lineage: Bacteria; Bacillati; Bacillota; Bacilli; Caryophanales; Paenibacillaceae.
AAAAAUUUAACAGGAUUUAGAUACCCUGGUAGUCCACGCCGUAAACGAUGUCGACUUGGAGGUUGUGCCCUUGAGGCGUGGCUUCCGGAGCUAACGCGUUAAGUCGACCGCCUGGGGAGUACGGCCGCAAGGUUAAAACUCAAAUGAAUUGACGGGGGCCCGCACAAGCGGUGGAGCAUGUGGUUUAAUUCGAUGCAACGCGAAGAACCUUACCUGGCCUUGACAUCCACGGAAUUCGGCAGAGAUGCCUUAGUGCCUUCGGGAACCGUGAGACAGGUGCUGCAUGGCUGUCGUCAGCUCGUGUUGUGAAAUGUUGGGUUAAGUCCCGCAACGAGCGCAACCCUUAUCCUUUGUUGCCAGCGAGUAAUGUCGGGAACUCAAAGGAGACUGCCGGUGACAAACCGGAGGAAGGUGGGGAUGACGUCAAGUCAUCAUGGCCCUUACGGCCAGGGCUACACACGUGCUACAAUGGCGCAUACAAAGAGAAGCGAACUCGCGAGAGCAAGCGGACCUCACAAAGUGCGUCGUAGUCCGGAUCGGAGUCUGCAACUCGACUCCGUGAAGUCGGAAUCGCUAGUAAUCGUAGAUCAGAAUGCUACGGUGAAUACGUUCCCGGGCCUUGUACACACCGCCCGUCCCUCCAUGGGAGUGGGUGCAAAAGAAGUAGGUAGCUAACCUCGGAGGGGCGCUACCACUUGUCAGGC